Molecule: ribosomal RNA, 369 nt
Filed under: uncultured Pelotomaculum sp.
Lineage: Bacteria; Bacillati; Bacillota; Clostridia; Eubacteriales; Desulfotomaculaceae
Description: bacterial SSU rRNA
Rfam family: Bacterial small subunit ribosomal RNA
Source: RNAcentral
ACCUCGGGUGACAGGGAGACAGGUGGUGCAUGGUUGUCGUCAGCUCGUGUCGUGAGAUGUUGGGUUAAGUCCCGCAACGAGCGCAACCCCUACGUUUAGUUGCUAACGCGUGAAGGCGAGCACUCUAGACGAACUGCCGUUGACAAAACGGAGGAAGGUGGGGAUGACGUCAAAUCAUCAUGCCCUUACUGUUCUGGGCUACACACGUGCUACAAUGGCCGGUACAGACGGACGCAAAGCCGCGAGGUGGAGCAAAUACCUAAAAAGACCGGUCUCAGUUCGGAUUGCAGGCUGCAAUUCGCCUGCAUGAAGUCGGAAUCGCUAGUAAUCGCAGGUCAGCAUACUGCGGUGAAUACGUUCCCGGGCCUU